UUGUUACGUCAAGGUCGUGACUAUUAGAGAAUGUAAACUUCCAUACUUGUAGAUUUUUUAGAAACUCUAUUUUUUUUCUCUUCCGGACAAUACAUGAGACACCAGAAAGAAAAGAAAACAACAGAAAUCAAGAAUUAAAUCCAAAACAUGUUUUCUCUGGAGAAGAUCGGACAAGCAGUAAGACAACGAGAUUGAUAUCUUCCCCGUCAAAAGAAAAUCAGAAAUUCUAGUGAAGAUACAGGGGCCGACUGGUUGCACCGCCGCCACCCGCAAACGGAGCGAUUGCGAUUUCUGGCGGUUGCGGGCGAUUGAAAAACUGACUGGUUGAACCGCAAC
Tarenaya hassleriana is the source of this 336-nucleotide long non-coding RNA. RefSeq lists it as uncharacterized. The transcript has 3 exons. The record is from RefSeq and is a predicted model, not a curated record. Lineage: Eukaryota; Viridiplantae; Streptophyta; Magnoliopsida; Brassicales; Cleomaceae.